RNAcentral lists this ribosomal RNA (445 nucleotides) under uncultured Enterobacteriaceae bacterium. RNAcentral's name for it is "bacterial SSU rRNA". It matches the Rfam family "Bacterial small subunit ribosomal RNA", at positions 936 to 1382 of the family's 1533-position model. Lineage: Bacteria; Pseudomonadati; Pseudomonadota; Gammaproteobacteria; Enterobacterales; Enterobacteriaceae. The record is from RNAcentral.
AGCAUGUGGUUUAAUUCGAUGCAACGCGAAGAACCUUACCUACUCUUGACAUCCAGAGAACUUAGCAGAGAUGCUUUGGUGCCUUCGGGAACUCUGAGACAGGUGCUGCAUGGCUGUCGUCAGCUCGUGUUGUGAAAUGUUGGGUUAAGUCCCGCAACGAGCGCAACCCUUAUCCUUUGUUGCCAGCGGUCCGGCCGGGAACUCAAAGGAGACUGCCAGUGAUAAACUGGAGGAAGGUGGGAUGACGUCAAGUCAUCAUGGCCCUUACGAGUAGGGCUACACACGUGCUACAAUGGCGCAUACAAAGAGAAGCGAACUCGCGAGAGCAAGCGGACCUCAUAAAGUGCGUCGUAGUCCGGAUUGGAGUCUGCAACUCGACUCCAUGAAAUCGGAAUCGCUAGUAAUCGUAGAUCAGAAUGCUACGGUGAAUACGUUCCCGGGCCUU